Takifugu rubripes (torafugu) is the source of this 2316-nucleotide long non-coding RNA. The record is from Ensembl. Lineage: Eukaryota; Metazoa; Chordata; Actinopteri; Tetraodontiformes; Tetraodontidae.
GUUAUCACCCAAUUCGCACACAUGAUAUUUUUCUAAGCUAGCUGCAAAUACAGACAUUUAUUUCUCAUGAUUUGAUGAAUUACUCUCCUGCUUCUCCAGUGGGCUCAUAUGUUUGGAGCCACCUGACCAAUCUUCUGAGGAGUGAAGACCCCAUGAAGCAGACCCUGAUUGAGUCCCUGCCUGACGAUAUUGUCAGUCGAGACUUUGAAGCCGAGUUUCUUAAAUACUCCUCCUAUGCUGAUUACACCGUAUCAUCGGGUAACAACGCGACACAAACUACCCUUUGAUUCUGAUCACAUAAAUAAUCGUGUGCAUCCACAUAUUUUGUCUUUUUUCAGGCAUGGGCCUUGCAAAUGUAGAAACCUCUCUGGUUUUUUCACCUAAGUCCUUCCUACCGAGGUCGGCCACCGCGAACCUGACGGUGUAUUUUCACGGCAGAGCUUACAAUCUUCUGGAAGUGGACGUUCACGUGGAAAACGCCGAGCACCUCGUGAAGAACUUUUUCGGUAAAGAGGAGCGCGAGUGUGACACCGAGGCUGCGCAAAGCAAAGAGCCCAGAAGAAUGAGGAGAAGAACAGAGGAUGCCCACAAAGAAGGAAAGGAGGCAUGUUUAAACCGAGCCCGCAGUUUUUUGGACCAGGCCAAGGCCAUGGUGAGCUCCCAGAAUCACUGCAUCUCCCUGAAUUGGUGUAAAAUAUUUGGGCCUCAAACCUAUGGAGAAUAGCCAAUUUAAGGAUAUUGUAUAAAAUAUAAAGAUUGACGUUUUUAGAUAUCAAAAAGAGGAAGAAUGUCGUCUACAGCAGAGACUCUUCUUUGCCUUUUCCAGCUGUUGGGGAGGAGGAGGACGGAGGCCAACAGGCCCAAGUGUUGGAUAGGUGUGAAGGUGUUUGGGAAUGAGCUCAGCGUGUUGACAUGUGAAGACCUCUACAAAGAAAUCGAUCAGCUGUCGCUCAGCGCUGCGGGUCUCGCUGUCAAGCUGCUAAAGGGUCACGAGGUUCAGCUGAACCACAGAGCGGCGCUGAUGACAGAGGAGCUGGUUUUGCCUUCUCUGUCUGGUCUGCCUGUCAAACUGGGAAUCAACAUGACCUCCCUUUUUUCACUGCGCCUGAAAGGCAACGUUAACUACAGAGACACGUCUCACUUCUCCCUGACUGGAUACGUCAAGCCGAAGUACCUCCGCGCCACCACAUCAGAUGUUUAUACACAUCUGCCCACUGAAGGCUAACUGGUGUCUUUCCCUCCCAGCGCUCACGUGGGGCUCUCUGCCUGGAUGGGGGUUGAUGGUGCUUUGGGCUGUGCUGCUGUGGACUGGGUCUCUGAGCUGAGGAGCUCCACCAGCCUAGACGGCAGUGUUCAGCUGCAGGAGGGGCGGGAUCUCAGGGUGACGCUGAACACACCUGAGGACGUGAUGGACAUCAUCUCCAUCAGGUAACUCAAUUCUGUAGGAGUCACAGACAGUAGGAAUGAGCAUUUCUGCAGCAUGCGAAUGAUGAAACUAGAGUUGUUGUAAUUCUUACUCCAGCUCCAGAGUCUUUCAGCUCAGCGGAGACCACAGGGAGGAGAUCCGAGGCCCUAAGACUCGAGUGCAGAAGACCACCUGCACACCAAAAACAUGCAAGUCCCCAUGCCUUAUAAAAACAAUAGCUUUUCUCUAUCUACAAAGUAAAUUGUUGCUUUGUCUUUUUUAUUGCAGGGUCUAAGAUGGUGGGCUGGCAGCUGUGCUCCAACACCUCUUACCCAUUUUCUGCUGGGGAUUUCUCACUUCCUCCCCCAGGACCAGUUAGCGUGUCACUGAGGCUGCUGAAGCUGGACAGAGGCCUUCAUUACUACGUGUUGGAGGCAGCCUAUUCGCUCCUCGCUCAGGUGCUUGGAAAUACAAAUAUGGGCCUGUAAUCUUGUCUAUGAAGUAAAAUAAAAUGACAAGUUUAUCUCUCCGUUUAUGUUUCAGAGAGGCAGCUGGCUGCCCAGAGAGGCCUCCCUCCACGUCCUUUUGGCCACUCCCCAGUCCUCCAUUCCCAGGGACAUGUCUCUGGAUCUAAAUUUCAGCCCGAACAGGCUGCUGCUGAGGAUUACUCAUCCUCUGAAAACCAUCCUCAUUCAAGGUGCGUCACAAAGGAGCUCCCUCACAAAACCGCCAACUUCUGUUUUAGCUGAAACCUUGCUCUCCUCUCAGGGCAACUUGUGCAGGACCGAAGCGUCAUGUCGGGAAAGAUGGAGCUGUCGAUCGAUGGCGUUCACUAUUACAUCCUGGUAUUUACCGACUGUGCUGUGAAUCCUCAUUUGGAUUUCCAUAUUAAGGAAACAGAUCAAAAUAAU